ACGAACGCUGGCGGCGUGCUUAACACAUGCAAGUCGAACGCAGAGCGAUGGAAGCUUGCUUCUAUCAAUCUUAGUGGCGAACGGGUGAGUAACGCGUAAUCAACCUGCCCUUCAGAGGGGGACAACAGUUGGAAACGACUGCUAAUACCGCAUACGAUCUAAUCUCGGCAUCGAGGAUAGAUGAAAGGUGGCCUCUACAUGUAAGCUAUCACUGAAGGAGGGGAUUGCGUCUGAUUAGCUAGUUGGAGGGGUAACGGCCCACCAAGGCGAUGAUCAGUAGCCGGUCUGAGAGGAUGAACGGCCACAUUGGGACUGAGACACGGCCCAGACUCCUACGGGAGGCAGCAGUGGGGAAUCUUCCGCAAUGGACGAAAGUCUGACGGAGCAACGCCGCGUGAGCGAUGACGGCCUUCGGGUUGUAAAGCUCUGUUAAUCGGGACGAAAGGCCUUCUUGCGAAUAGUGAGAAGGAUUGACGGUACCGGAAUAGAAAGCCACGGCUAACUACGUG
This 509-nucleotide ribosomal RNA is filed under the name uncultured bacterium. RNAcentral's name for it is "partial 16S ribosomal RNA". It matches the Rfam family "Bacterial small subunit ribosomal RNA", at positions 29 to 507 of the family's 1533-position model. The record is from RNAcentral.